CUCUUACUGGAGAUCCCUGCCUACCUGAGGCCUUCUAAAGGACCCGCUGACAGCGAGGAGAAACCUGCCCCAUACAUGGCAGAUGGUCUGAUGAGCAAUCAGGCUCAUUGCUGGCUGGGCAGGAGGGGGAACGGUGAAGCUGAGAUUAGAGAGGAAAUCAAGACAGAGGUUUCUUCCGCACAGCGAGGUGUUAUUAUUAUCAUCAAAACCCCAGAGUGUUGAAAAACAAUCAAACCCCGGUGGCAGCAACCUGUGCAUUGCAGCGAGUGCAAUCAGACACCAAACGUGUCCUUGUCUGGGACUUGAGCCUGACAUCUCCAGCUCUUGAAAUUUGGGAGAAGGUGGCAAUUUGGCCUUGCUGCUUAUUUGUUGCUGAAAAAAGGAUUAGCAACCUUGACACCAAGCUGUGCUUCCACUCACAAUGGGAAGCCUUCAGGGAUGGAGACCCAGGACAGCGGCUCCGACUGCGCUGCUGCAGUCUUUUCUGAAAGAAAAGGAGAUGCACCUGGCAGCUGCUUAAUGAGAGCUCUGAAGGAGACCUGUGGAGCCCUUUAGCAGAGGUGUUAAUUACUAAUUGCGCCUGGGAUAAAAUGGGAGCCUGCCACUGUAGAAUAAUGCAUCUGUACCUAUAAUUGGUGCAGUGAUCCCCAGGGAUUGCAGGGAGGAUGCUCUGAGCAGUCACACCCCUGGCUCCAUGCUGGGCUGUUCCUGGUGCCACUGGGGCUCCCCUGUCCGUUGUGUCAUCUGAGCUCUGCUCCUAGCGUAGGGGACAGCAGAGCUGCCUGGGACAGCUGCAGGGCCAUUGGCAAGGAUGCUGGGUGCAUUGCUGACACGUGGCCAAGGGAUACAUUAUGAGAGGAGUAACCCCAUAGAUCACCAUGAUGGAGAUUUACUUUUAAUAAGGCAAUAAUUUGCUUGAUGCAUCACACUGCAGCCAGGCAAGGAGCAACAAGAUGCUCCAUCAAUUCCCAAUAGGCCAUCACUCUCGGGUCAGGAACCAAGGAAACAGCAUCCUCCUCCCUGUCCCCACCCCACCCCCCCAUAGAGUACGCAGAAGGGCACAGGGUGAUGCUCGUGGGCAGCUGCUGUUUGGGGAUGUGCAGGAAUUGCCACAUUGCAGAGUGAGCAACGCUGGCAGUAAAACAACAGAACCAUUCUCUGAGCAAUUUGUAGCAAUUAAUAGCCAUUCCCAGGAAUGAAAUGUUAAUUAAUUCAUUCUGCGAGCCACGCGUUUAUUUAAGGUAUUUGUGGGUGUUCUCAGUACUUUUAUUAAGCAAUUAAAACGCGUCCGAGAAAAUAUUUAUCUAUUUUAAGUCACUCUUAGUAAACACAAUUUAUAUGGCAGGCAACUGCUUCAUUUUGCACUGUUAAUUAAAAAUUGCAACUCACUGUGCUUCCCUGGGGUGCCCUCAGUCGGAACAGCCCCUCUGUGUGCAGGGCAGUCAGCAGUGGGCAGGAUGCUGCUGUCACUGCCUGGUGUUGGUGGAAAACAAUGAAUGGGAGCAGGGGAAUGGCACUCCAGAACAAAUCCAUUCCAGCCAGAGCUUGUUGCCAUGGGGAAAUGCUCAUUGCCCUGCAGCACUGUUGGUUGGAGGGGCCAGGAUGGCACCCGCAGCCUCGGGUGCUGCCCAGCUUGGAGAGAAGGAAAGCAGCUGCAGUACCAAGCGAGCAGGCUUGCACGUUCUCACCUCACUCAUCCAGGCGGCACCAAACCAGUCUGGUGUCGCUUGGGAGGGCUGUUACAUGACAGGGCUACAAAUUCCCCUAAACAGCUUGUUCUCACAUGCCAUUUGUUGAAGAAUUACAAGUCCUCUUGUUGCAGUCAGA
Meleagris gallopavo (turkey) is the source of this 1827-nucleotide non-coding RNA. The record is from RefSeq and is a predicted model, not a curated record. Lineage: Eukaryota; Metazoa; Chordata; Aves; Galliformes; Phasianidae.